Molecule: unclassified non-coding RNA, 277 nt
Filed under: fungal sp.
Lineage: Eukaryota; Fungi
Description: partial internal transcribed spacer region
Rfam family: Eukaryotic small subunit ribosomal RNA (bases 1-46)
Source: RNAcentral
AAGUCGUAACAAGGUCUCCGUAGGUGAACCUGCGGAGGGAUCAUUAACACGUUUCUACAAACGUUUCCAACCAAACCGUGAAUCUACCAACCUCGCAGCCAUUGGAUUGCAGGUAGGGCUUUGGCUCUGCUUGUCUUUCAGCGGUUGUUUGAAUUUUUGUUUUUAAACCAUUUCCAAUUUUACCAUACGGUUUAUAGUACUGUGGCUUCGUUAACUCGUUGACACUGAAAUAAAUCAAUGUAAAGCACAACUCUUAGCAACGGAUAUCUUGGUUCUC